UACGAAGGGGGCUAGCGUUGCUCGGAAUCACUGGGCGUAAAGGGUGCGUAGGCGGGUUUUUAAGUCAGGGGUGAAAUCCUGGAGCUCAACUCCAGAACUGCCUUUGAUACUGAAGAUCUUGAGUUCGGGAGAGGUGAGUGGAACUGCGAGUGUAGAGGUGAAAUUCGUAGAUAUUCGCAAGAACACCAGUGGCGAAGGCGGCUCUCUGGGACGGUACUGACGCUGAGACGCGAAAGCGUGGGGAGCGAACAGG
This 253-nucleotide ribosomal RNA is filed under the name uncultured bacterium. RNAcentral describes it as "partial 16S ribosomal RNA". It matches the Rfam family "Bacterial small subunit ribosomal RNA", at positions 524 to 776 of the family's 1533-position model. The record is from RNAcentral.